Molecule: long non-coding RNA, 846 nt
Organism: Magnolia sinica
Lineage: Eukaryota; Viridiplantae; Streptophyta; Magnoliopsida; Magnoliales; Magnoliaceae
Exons: 3
Source: RefSeq, a predicted model, not a curated record
GCUGUCAAUUUGCUGGCCGUCGGAUGGAGCCGGUUGCAUCCAACGGCUGAUGUUUUAACGUCACUUGAAAGAGGAUAACCGGUGAUACCGGUAUCAUUGUGGCCGAGCGCGUACAUGACCAUCUAAAUAGGAAUUUUUUACCCCGUUGAAGCCCUGGCCGUGCAACCAUCUCUCUCUUUUCCUGGAUUUGGUCCGGCAUCUACAUCCCUGUGCAACCCUUCUCUCUCCCUCAAUCCCUACAAGCAGCCACACCCCUGUGCAGCCGCCUCCACCUCUCUCUCUCUCUCUCUCUCUCUCUCUCUCUCUCUCUCUCUCAUUCCCUACUACCAUGCAGUCAGAAACAAAAACCAAUACAAAUGGGUUUGCAGAUGGGGCAUUGUAUUUGAACGUGGAUGAAACAAAUGGGUUUCCAGAUCAUUGGAUUGAGGUUGUUUUUUAGAGGUUGGAAAAUCAAAUGUGGGCCCUAUCUUCAUGUCUGGUCAGGUUAUCUGAUUGAAGUGAUUUUUGAGAGGGAUAAGCAACUCAGGGUGAACUGCUGGAUGGGCGGGAAAUAGCGGUGAAAAGGCUUUCGAGGAAUUCAGGACAAGGAAUGGAUGAAUUGAAGAAUGAGAUUGUACUGAUUGCCAAACUUCAACACAGGAAUCUGGUUAGGCUCUUGGGUUGUUGCUUGGAAGGAGAAGAGAAGCUGCUAGUGUAUGAAUAUGUUCCUAACAGGAGCCUUGACACAUUUCUGUUUGGUGAGUCCAAUUACACUAAAAUGAUUCAGUAGGAGGUUGCGUUUGGAUGUUCAACUGAAUGAAAUUGCAAUGAGGUCGGAUCCAAUGCAAAUGUUUUAUACGAAAAGCU